UACGUAGGGGGCAAGCGUUGUCCGGAAUCAUUGGGCGUAAAGCGCGUGUAGGCGGGUUGGUAAGUCCGCUCUGAAAGCCCGGGGCUCAACCCCGGGAGGCGGGUGGAUACUGUCGGCCUCGAGUCCGGAAGAGGCGAGUGGAAUUCCUGGUGUAGCGGUGAAAUGCGCAGAUAUCAGGAGGAACACCAAUGGCGAAGGCAGCUCGCUGGGACGGUACUGACGCUGAGACGCGAAAGCGUGGGGAGCAAACAGG
Molecule: ribosomal RNA, 253 nt
Filed under: uncultured bacterium
Lineage: Bacteria
Description: partial 16S ribosomal RNA
Rfam family: Bacterial small subunit ribosomal RNA
Source: RNAcentral